GAUGAACGCUAGCGGGAGGCUUAACACAUGCAAGUCGAGGGGCAGCAUAGGGUAGCAAUACUCUGAUGGCGACCGGCAAACGGGUGAGUAACGCGUAUGUAACCUACCCUGUACAGGGGGAUAACCCGGAGAAAUUCGGACUAAUAUCCCAUAACAAUAUCCGGGGGCAUCUUUGGAUAUUUAAAGUUCCGGCGGUACGGGAUGGGCAUGCGUAACAUUAGCUAGUUGGUAAGGUAACGGCUUACCAAGGCUUUGAUGUUUAGGGGUCCUGAGAGGGUGGUCCCCCAACUGGUACUGAGACACGGACCAGACUCCUACGGGAGCAGCAGUGAGGAAUAUUGGUCAAUGGGCCAAGCCUGAACCAGCCAUCCCGCGUGCAGGAAGACGGCGCUAUGCGUUGUAAACUGCUUUUCCAGGGAGAGAAACUUGCGCACGUGUUGCGCAAUUGACGGUACCCUGGGAAUAAGCAUCGGCUAACUCCGUGCCAGCAGCCGCGGUAAUACGUAGCGU
RNAcentral lists this ribosomal RNA (510 nucleotides) under uncultured bacterium. RNAcentral's name for it is "bacterial SSU rRNA". It matches the Rfam family "Bacterial small subunit ribosomal RNA", at positions 28 to 533 of the family's 1533-position model. The record is from RNAcentral.